CGCUGUUCUCAUCGCAGGGCAGCAGCUCCGAGCAGGUCUCCCCUCGCUGGCGGGCGCAGGUCAGGCAGCAGGCGCAGCCAUCCAGGACCGCAGGCACGCCCGGUGGGCAGGUAGGCGGGUCUGCGGGACACUCGCACGGCAGCCGGCACCUGCUGCGCUCCUGGCCACACACCUCCUGCAAAGGGCAAAGCAGGAGGCAGCAGCAUCAGUACAACAAGCCCCUUUCGCUUCCAGGCACAGCCACAGUAAUUGUUUUGUGUAAGAAUGCAUAGUAAUGCCAACAGUUUCCGAAGUAUCUUCUCUCAGAAGUCUUGCACGCUUCCGUGAUUGCUGCAGAGUGCCAAAGGAGUAGGUGCUGAAGAAAUAAGGUUGGGCCUUACUUCAAAAUGCUGCGGUUGUCAGUUAUGCCUCAUGCCUUCCUGGCCAUCAGGCUACUGGGCUGUUCCUGCCCUGAUUGGCCCAUCCACUCCUGGUGCUGCCCAUUACACCCGUUCAUGGUUUCUCAAGCAAAUACAUAUCGUAUGGAGCAUAAGGUGAUGACAGAUUGAGAUGGCGUGACCCACACUUACAAAUCUGGAAAUAUAGAGCCACAUCGCUCUCCAUCUCUUGCUGGAGAGGUCUCAGCAAGAGCAGUUUAAGCAGUCCAUUGGCGUGUGAGGAAGAAGGUGGAGGAGGGUGCAUGUGCUGCACAGUGGCUAUCGCUGGUUUUUUAAAAAAGGAGGUAGAGAGUUGCCAGCUAUCUAGGGCUGCAGUUGUAACCACGUCCAGCUCUAGCUGAAAAGAACAGACCCAGGGGAAGGAAGCUGGAGAGGGGCUUGCUAAGCUAUACCCACCUGAAGUGAUGACAUCAUUGAGAGCAGCCUAUCCAUUUGUUUAUUUAUUUAUGUAAAAUAUUUCUAUACUGCCCAAAACUUGCGUCUCUGGGUGGUUUACAAUUAAAAUGAUUUAAAACAUCAAAUCAGUUAACAAACAAAAUCAUUAAAAACAUGAAAACCAUUUAAAACCUGGUAUUAACGUUUUUUAUAACUAUAAAUUAAUUAAAAGCCUGGGUGAAUAAAAGUUGCCUUUUGAAAAGUUGCCAGAGAUGGGGAGGCUCUUAUUUCAACAGG
Molecule: long non-coding RNA, 1109 nt
Organism: Hemicordylus capensis (graceful crag lizard)
Lineage: Eukaryota; Metazoa; Chordata; Lepidosauria; Squamata; Cordylidae
Exons: 7
Source: RefSeq, a predicted model, not a curated record